Molecule: RNA transcript, 3467 nt
Organism: Triticum aestivum (bread wheat)
Lineage: Eukaryota; Viridiplantae; Streptophyta; Magnoliopsida; Poales; Poaceae
Exons: 4
Source: RefSeq, a predicted model, not a curated record
CGCACCCAAUCACUAGUGUCUCGCGGCUCUCGCCCCACCCCAGCCACCAAACGAGGAACCCUAGCCUCCUUUCUCCUUCCCCUCGACCCCCACGAGCCGCUGCACCCCUCCCUCUCCCUUCCGUGCGUGCGCUCGGCCAAGGACGCCGCCGUCGCCCUCGGCUCCUCCUCCCCCACCUCGCCUUUUUCUCCUCCUUGCCUUCCCAUCGCUCGCGCGCAUGUCGCCGCUGUCGAAGAACAGGACAGUGCGGGUCGCUUCCUCCUUUUCCUCCCAUCGGAUCUAAGGCAUGCGGCCGUGGAGGCGAGCCUCUCCGGUGGCGGCGGCAAAGGGUGACCACAUGGAUCGGUCCCUGCAGGAUAGAGAAGAUGGGAGAGAGGGAGAGAAGGAAGGAGAGGAGGGAGGCCCGAUGGCGGACGGGAGAGGGUCACCGACCGGCGCCGGCGAGGUCAGGUUCGACCUGGUGGUUGGUGGCGGCUCGAUCCACUCCUGGAUCCUUCUUCUUCCACUUCCCCACUGCCUAACACCAAGGAAGAGGGCUGGCCGAGGAAGAGGGCGAGGACGCGGGGAUUGAAGAGGGUGUUCAUGCAUUCAUCGCCUGGCCAAGGACGAGGAUGACGACGUGGGGUGGAGCAUGUCAUCCCUCUGGUUAUCACAUUCCUUUCUGCUACUGGGCUGAGAUGAGGGUUUUCUCCACCGAUUGUGGUGGCCUGAGUCAGAUAUCGACAACCAGAUGCUUGUGGCUACCACACAAAACGUGCUCUCUUGCUGACCUCGAGGUCCAGACGCAAUGGAUUGUCUCCAAGGUGUUUCUCCGACCAGCAACAACAAAACUCCACACUUUCUCAAUUGCGCUGUGAUUGGUUCAUGUCCACCAAGGUCGUUGCGUUGGUCGCGGUACUCGGCUUCCUUUGGGUUUGCUUGCUGUCGAUGAAGAAGAAAGGUGUGAACCAUGUGAAAAUGGACAAACCCACAGUCCUAGAUGGUAAUGAAAAAACUGACACCAACUAGCUCACUCUAUAGAUUUUGUCUAGGCUCAAGCUAACUACGUAUCUGCACCACGAUUGCUCGCUGGGGAUAUAGAUGUAUGCCUAACAUCAGGUUAUUACCACACCAUAGUAGCUGCUCGUUGGGAAUAUAGAUAUAUAUUUCAUUUUGCAGGUUUGAAACAAGCUGGUUCCUUUAUAUGAAAUUGUUUAUUCAUGAUUUGUUAAUGUAGAAAUCAUUUCAUUAAUUAGUUUCGUAUGGUCCGUGUGAUUCAUGCUGCAAUGCUUUUCUUCAGUCGGUUAAUCGUGUAGUAAUUAGACGGUGUAGUACUAUGGCGGUGGUAUACUGAUAUCGUGUAGUAAUUGAUGCUCUGUUCAUGGCUUUUUUCUUAUUUUAUCCUUCUUUGCUUUUUUCCUUCCCUGCAAGAAGAUGUCGAGUCAUGUAAUAUGUUCAAAGAAGAGAGAAUCUGCAUUUUAUGAAUCCUUUCUUCUUUCUUCAUUGUUACUUCAAGUUAGUGAAUUCAUUUAAGUUGUAUUGAGCAGCUUCAUGUGCAUGGUUUCUUCAUCUACACAUCUUAUUCAGUCACGAGGCCUCUAAGAUCUUUUGCCUUUUAGAAAAAGGGAGAUGCCAUUUAGACCUUACUCUUCCAACUUGAUCUUUAACUUGCUAGCAUUUUCCCAAGCAUUUUUUAUUUGCUUCAGAGAAUGAACUCACCUUAUUCAGUGGAUGUGCCAAGUAAAAAAAUUAGAAACUGAACAAUUAGUUCCACUCUUAAAUUUUGUACAACGGUCCAAAUUAUCCAAUAAAUCAGUUGUUAGCAGGGUCUAAUUAUAGAAGUUGAAUCAGUUGUUCCCUCCUCUUCUCUUCGAACCCAGCCCUCUCUUGAGUGUGUCGUGCCCUCUACUACGGUAAAGCACCAGGUCCACGUGAGCUCCUCCUUCAACCCGCGUAUGUAAUUUCUUCCUUUUCCAUGAAUGCACACAUCUAAAGCAUUUUUUUGGGUUCCCUCAUCUAAAUUUCUUCUGAAGUGUGCAGAUUGUUAUUCAUUAUCAGGGAGGACAAUAUUCUUUUCAAGGACUCAUUAGUCCCAGAAUAUUUAGCUGGCAAGAUACAUAUUUUAUGAUUCAUCCAUCUCUCCAAUUCUGACCUUACAUAUCAACCUGUCUUCAUGUACCCUUCUAUAUAUGGUGCUGCUACUUUUUUUUCCUUACAUGGAUAUAUGUAUGAGAUUUCUUUGUUUAGGUAUAUUUGUGCCUGAAAGAAGUUUACAUCUAUUUUCUUGUUAGAUGAGCCUGAAUGAGAAUACUUAUGAGAUCGCAUGAAUGAGAUGUUGACGCCCUGUAUGCUCCAUGUAUCAUUCUUCCCACAUAAUGGUUAGAAUCCCAGUUGUUGAAUCACAAUAGACAAUACCAUAUUUCACAUUUUGUAUAGUCCAACCAAUAAUACAUAUGGAGCCUGGUGAUGGUUAUUGAUAUAUAGUGAUAGUAGUUUCCUGCAUUAAUUAGUUAAUGAGCCACCCUUUUGUUUUCAACUCAAAGUGUUGCAACAGUUAAAUAGAUGUGUUCGUGCCAUUUAGCCCCAAAAUUCAGUUCAGUUUGGCUGUACAUCUAUUGCCGACCCCUUUUCUUAGUACUGAUUGACCUUUAUGUGUUAAUAUUUUAUUGACUUCAUUUUUUCCUUUAGUCCUUCCUCUUGGUGUAUAAUCCUGAUUGUGUGAGUUCCUUUCCUGGUAGGGUAUUUAUGAUUCGGACCAUUCCAUAACAAAAUGCAUAUAUGGCCUCAUGCAUGUUUAUUGCUUGCCUGUGUAUCGUUGUGUUCUUAUCGGUUGUUUUCUGUGCGUUUCGUAGGAUGCGAUCUCUUCUGCCGCUACGUCUCCGUUCGACUCGCCAAGUCUGCAGGCCAGCAUAUUAUUUAGAUUCUUUCUAACUACCUUACUUCGAAGCUCAGUACUGGUCUCCUUCAAGCUACAACCCCAAGGUAUGUCUUCCGAAACAAACAACUAUAAUAUGCUUAUAACUACUUAAUUGCACUCAUGUUUGUGUUUCCUUUUGUACCAAAUCGCCGUGCCCUACCGGCUAUGCUAUAUGCCCACAUAUUUACACAUGUCUCCCUCUUCACUGGUUUUCUUUCAUGCACCAGGCGAGCUCUGGUGGUCAAGCUGAUGCUUCUUCGCCUCAUGUUGAAGAAAAGGAUGAUAAGGAUGUCCAUGCUCGAGUGACCAGGAAUAAUUGGGGAUCCUCAGAUAACUUCCGAAGCGAGGAGUUAAUCUUCGACAUAGUCCCGUUUCGCAAUGGCUAUCACGCACUGCUUGGACGAACUGCAUUUGCAAAGUUCAAUGCGGUGCCGCACUAUGCAUACCUCAAGCUCAAGAUGCUAGGCCCUCGAGGAGUCAUUACGGUCAAAGGAAACAUCGAACGCUCUCUCUGAACGGAGGAGCAUACGGCGGCUCUUGUGGCGGAAGUACAAAGCAGCCUCUCAAGGCA